This 593-nucleotide ribosomal RNA is filed under the name uncultured Acinetobacter sp. Its description in RNAcentral is "bacterial SSU rRNA". It matches the Rfam family "Bacterial small subunit ribosomal RNA", at positions 75 to 663 of the family's 1533-position model. The record is from RNAcentral. Lineage: Bacteria; Pseudomonadati; Pseudomonadota; Gammaproteobacteria; Moraxellales; Moraxellaceae.
GUAGCUUGCUACUGGACCUAGCGGCGGACGGGUGAGUAAUACUUAGGAAUCUGCCUAUUAGUGGGGGACAACGUUCCGAAAGGAGCGCUAAUACCGCAUACGCCCUACGGGGGAAAGCAGGGGAUCUUCGGACCUUGCGCUAAUAGAUGAGCCUAAGUCGGAUUAGCUAGUUGGUGGGGUAAAGGCCUACCAAGGCGACGAUCUGUAGCGGGUUUGAGAGGAUGAUCCGCCACACUGGGACUGAGACACGGCCCAGACUCCUACGGGAGGCAGCAGUGGGGAAUAUUGGACAAUGGGCGCAAGCCUGAUCCAGCCAUGCCGCGUGUGUGAAGAAGGCCUUAUGGUUGUAAAGCACUUUAAGCGAGGAGGAGGCUUACCUAGCUAAUACCUAGGAUAAGUGGACGUUACUCGCAGAAUAAGCACCGGCUAACUCUGUGCCAGCAGCCGCGGUAAUACAGAGGGUGCAAGCGUUAAUCGGAAUUACUGGGCGUAAAGCGCGCGUAGGUGGCCAUUUAAGUCAAAUGUGAAAUCCCCGGGCUUAACUUGGGAAUUGCAUUCGAUACUGGAUGGCUAGAGUAUAGGAGAGGAAGGUA